CGUAGGUGGCAAGCGUUGUCCGGAUUUAUUGGGUUUAAAGGGUGCGUAGGCGGUUUUUUAAGUCAGUGGUGAAAUACUUCAGCUCAACUGGAGAGGUGCCAUUGAUACUGGGAAACUUGAGUACUGAUGAGGUAGGCGGAAUGGACGGUGUAGCGGUGAAAUGCUUAGAUAUCGUCCAGAACACCGAUAGCGAAGGCAGCUUACUAAGGAGUAACUGACGCUGAGGCACGAAAGUGUGGGGAUCAAACAGGAUUAGAUACCCUGGUAGUCCACACUGUAAACGAUGAUCACUCGAUGUUGGCGAUACACAGCCAGCGUCUUAGCAAAAGCGAUAAGUGAUCCACCUGGGGAGUACGCCGGCAACGGUG
RNAcentral lists this ribosomal RNA (368 nucleotides) under uncultured organism. RNAcentral's name for it is "bacterial SSU rRNA". It matches the Rfam family "Bacterial small subunit ribosomal RNA", at positions 526 to 896 of the family's 1533-position model. The record is from RNAcentral.